CUACGGGAGGCUGCAGUGGGGAAUAUUGCACAAUGGAGGAAACUCUGAUGCAGCAACGCCGCGUGGAGGAUGACACUUUUCGGAGCGUAAACUCCUUUUAUAUAGGAAGAAGAUGACGGUACUAUAUGAAUAAGCGCCGGCUAACUCCGUGCCAGCAGCCGCGGUAAUACGGAGGGCGCAAGCGUUACUCGGAAUCACUGGGCGUAAAGAGCGUGUAGGCGGAUUAAAAAGUCAGAAGUGAAAUCCUAUAGCUUAACUAUAGAACUGCUUCUGAAACUCUUAAUCUAGAAUAUGGGAGAGGUAGAUGGAAUUUCUGGUGUAGGGGUAAAAUCCGUAGAGAUCAGAAGGAAUACCGAUUGCGAAGGCGAUCUACUAGAACAUUAUUGACGCUGAGACGCGAAAGCGCGGGGAGCAAACAGGAUUAGAUACCCCAGUACUC
This 439-nucleotide ribosomal RNA is filed under the name uncultured bacterium. Its description in RNAcentral is "partial 16S ribosomal RNA". It matches the Rfam family "Bacterial small subunit ribosomal RNA", at positions 339 to 795 of the family's 1533-position model. The record is from RNAcentral.